UCCAUAUUUUUUUAUUAGUCCUAUACAACAAGGUUGUUUUCACACUUUUUUUAUCAAGUUCAUCUAGAUGUCUAAGCGAUUUGCUUUUCCCUUUCAUAUAUUCCCCAGUCAAUUCCUAUGUCAGCCUUCCAAUUAUUUCCUUAAUAAUCUCAUUCUCAUUUGCCAAAUAUCAGUACCCCUAGAGUUCCUUUUAUCUAUAGAACUUCAAGUUUCUUUAACUAUAUCAUAUAUAUCCUCCUUAUGCAGCUAGCUGUUUUCAAAUCUGAAACAGCUAGCCUGCUUAGGUACUACCCCAAUAUGUAAUACUAGGGGGGACAUUAUCAGAAAGAACCCUUUCUAAAGCUAAGAUAGAAGUGAGUGGGAAUUCCAUUUCAUACUAUGUAUCUGUUAAGAUUCUGUCCAAUUUCUCAUAUGUGGGACAUCAUGACCAUUACUCUAGGUAAACUGAGCUACAAAGAUUAGCUAACUCUGCAUGGAAUUCCUGUUUCUUAUCAUGCUGCGCUACCCCAUAAAUUACAAUCAGAUUCCACUUAAAGUCAGAAUUAUGCUUUUGCAAUAACAUCCUGGCAAAAUACAACAGCAGCAUUAGUAAUGUUUAAAAUUUUGAAUGCAUGUAAAACAUUUCCUUUUUUUAAGGGGACCAAGUAAUGCCUAUGUAAUGCUGACGGGACUUGUAAGUAAUUCCUUCUGAAAAUAGUUUCUAGCACCGUCUGGUAACAGCCAGUUCCUGAAUUAAGGUAGCUUUAGUAUAAAUGAAUCUGACUUAUUGGUUUACUAGUUUUUCAGGUUAAACUGAGGCAUAACGCAGAAAGCAAGGCUUUCUUUUAGUUUUUUUUUUUUCUGUCAUGGAUCAGAAUGUUGAUGCUGUUCAUGGAGAUAACCAUGCGUUCCAUGUUGAGUUUCGUACAUCUCUAGUACGAUUGGUUUCCAAUAAACCGGUGGAACAAGCUAAAAGGAAAUAUAUUUUUGUUCCUGGCAUACCUAUUGUGUCAGUGAAUGGCAUUUGCUAUAUAAUAUCGCAUAGCAGAGUGUUCUGUCAAGAAGAUGCACACAAUUGGCAACAUGAAGUCAUUUUUCCUGACGGAACUGCAGAGCCGCUUAUAACAGAAGAUGUAAGAAUACAAGGAGAUCUGGCAGCAUUUUCUGUUAGUACAACUGCAGGACUGCCAGAUCCAGUAAAAUUCAGUGGACAACAGGUUUCACACAAUCAGGAAGUUUAUACAGUUAAUUAUGAAGGGAUGAGGGAGCCAAGCUUGUUAGUUCGUGGUCGUGUAACGCAUGUAGGUGAAGGAUCAUUUUUCCAUGAUUGUACUCCCGGUACAUUUACUAUAUAUGGAUCGCCAGUUUUCAACGAGCAAAGUGAGCUUGUUGGCAUAUGUCAUAAAAAUUAUGGCGUUAUUGAAGCAUUUGAUGUGAAUGAGAUAGAAAAACUGCUUUCAGGAAUUGAUCCAGGCAUGGCGAACAAGUCACUUUCUGAGAUUCUGCAGCAUAUAAAGGCCACAAUCCAAGCAAAUUGAAAGGCAUUUUUCUUGGUAAGUUGUCAUGGUUGUUUAUUUCUUUCUUUCUUUUUCUUUUUUUUUUUUUGUGGGGAAGCCCAGACUGGGCUUAACCAAUUUCAUUAAGGGGGAAAGCAUGUACAGGGUCGGUUUUACACUCUCAGCAGAGUUUGCUGAGGCUAGGAAAAGAAAAAACCGGCCAGAGCCAGGAAGUCACAGAUGUAUGCUACUCCUCACAAUGUUUGAAAUAACCCGCUUCCCUCCAGAUGAGCCAAAAAAUCAAUAGGCAUGCGGAAUCAAAGGAUUUUCUGAAUUUCUUCUUGAAGCACUUCCGUGUCGUCAACCACCAUUCGUCUAUUGCCAUGCCAAUCUCCCUCGGUAGUUGGAAUGGAACCGAUGUCCAGCAUCUCCACCGGUUCCAGACCUGGUUUGUGAAAUGGCAGCUAAUGAACAGAUGAUGACAAGUUUCCUGUGGCGCUUGACACAGGGGGCAAGAAACCUGCAUCGGCCAUCCUCGCUUCAUUAAGUUGUCCGCUGUUAAACAUCGCUCCUUCACUGCGAGCCAGAUGAAGAAGCGGAUUUUCGUUGGGGCCCUCGUCUUCCACAACAAAGCACCCCAUCGGCAACGUUCUUUGGCUAGGAAGAAGAUCUCGUAAGCUGAGGAGGCCGUGAAGUUACCAUGAGACUCCCGGCCCCAAAUGAUAGAAUAGGACCCCAUUUGCGUCCAACUGUAUGUCCUCGAGAUGGUCCCAUAAUUGCAGGUACUCUGUUGGAUGGUGCUCCUCUGAUAGUUCUGAUCCAGUGGCGAUUAUGCAUACCUUGGUGCACUGUCAUGCUGGGUUUGGAGGCGUGAUAGAACAGCGCAGGGAAAGCUUGUCUGAUGGGUCCACAUGGUAGCCCAGAAUUCUGUAUCUUUCCCAUCUCCCACUUGCACUUUUGUUGCUGCAUAGAACAAAUUAUCUAGUUGACGAUCAUGUUGGUAUUUCCACAGUGCCGCCCACGGCCUGUCUUUCUGUAUUUUCGCCAGGACUGCCCAUUUCAGCCGCAAUGCUUUUCCGAAGCAGUUAAUGUCUUUGAUGCCUAGUCCUCCCAACUGUUUUGGCAUGCAAACUGCACCCCAUGCAACUAAG
RNA transcript from Oryza brachyantha (malo sina), 2626 nucleotides. RefSeq lists it as uncharacterized. The transcript is spliced from 5 exons. NCBI's taxonomy places the organism in Eukaryota, Viridiplantae, Streptophyta, Magnoliopsida, Poales, Poaceae. The record is from RefSeq and is a predicted model, not a curated record.